CCUACGGGAGGCAGCAGUGGGGAAUCUUGCGCAAUGGGCGAAAGCCUGACGCAGCAACGCCGCGUGAGCGAAGAAGGCCUUCGGGUUGUAAAGCUCUGUCAGGAGGGACGAAGCCACUCGGGUGAAUAGCCCAGAGGGUGACGGUACCUCCAAAGGAAGGUCCGGCUAACUACGUGCCAGCAGCCGCGGUAAUACGUAGGGACCUAGCGUUGUCCGGAUUCAUUGGGCGUAAAGCGCGUGUAGGCGGCUUGCUAAGUCUGGUGUGAAAACUCGGUGGCUCAACCCCGAGCCUGCACUGGAAACUGACUUGCUAGAGCCCGGAAGAGGGGAUUGGAAUUCCUGGUGUAGCGGUGAAAUGCGCAGAUAUCAGGAAGAACACCCGUGGCGAAGGCGGAUCCCUGGGACGGUACUGACGCUGAGACGCGAAAGCGUGGGGAGCAAACAGGAUUAGAUACCCUGGUAGUCCACGCCGUAAACGAUGGGCACUAGGUGUGGGAGGUGUCGACUCCUCCCGUGCCGCAGCUAACGCAUUAAGUGCCCCGCCUGGGGAGUACGGUCGCAAGACUAAAACUCAAAGGAAUUGACGG
RNAcentral lists this ribosomal RNA (587 nucleotides) under uncultured bacterium. RNAcentral's name for it is "bacterial SSU rRNA". It matches the Rfam family "Bacterial small subunit ribosomal RNA", at positions 338 to 916 of the family's 1533-position model. The record is from RNAcentral.